Pelobates cultripes (western spadefoot toad) is the source of this 478-nucleotide non-coding RNA. The record is from the annotation of a GenBank genome assembly. NCBI's taxonomy places the organism in Eukaryota, Metazoa, Chordata, Amphibia, Anura, Pelobatidae.
AGUGUUGACCACCUCCUCCUCCUCCACCCCCGCUUCCACCUACACCGCCACGAUCACCGCCUCCUCAACCUCCUACUCCACAUUCACCUCCUCCUCCUAGUUCAAGAUUAAUAUUUUAAAUUUUUAUGUAUUUUAUGUUAUUUUAAGUUAUUUCCCUAUCCACAUUUGUUUGCGGGGCACUUGUCCGACUCUUACCACCAUUUCUUUCCAGGACUUUUUUAGAGCCUUUUAGUGCCCAAAAGUUCGGGUUGCCUUCAAUGGGGUUCGGGUUCGGGGUCAUGUUAGGGUCAAGUUCGAGAACUCCAAACUCAAACUUUUUGCGGAUGUUCGGCCGAACCCGGCGAACCCGAACAUCCAGGUGUCCGCUCAUCUCUAGUGCAAAUAAAUAAGAAAUGUAAGGUAAUUUACUUACCAAUGAAAUGUGAGGAGAUAUGCCACACCCGACCGAACCCGGAAGUACACAGGCAGGACACGUGAC